CCUCUGCCCCCUAAGUCAGCUGAUACUCCCUCCAGUUAUUGUGUGUACCCAGUAAAUAGUGGCAAGCUCCAAAAGUCUUUGUUUUUGCCCACACUGAGGCACCGACCUGCCCUCCAUAUACUUUGAAAUUGUGCAAGUCUCUGUUUUCUUUAUUCCUCGCAGUUCCUCUUUCUAGGCAGGUGAAGCAUUGCUCGCCCUCUAUAAUUAGUACCUUUAUAAAAGAGGCACCAGAGACCUCCCUCACGUCUUCUACCAUGUGAAGUUAGAGCAAAAAUGUGGCUGUCUGUGAACCAGGAAGCAGACCUCAGCAGACACUGGGCUUCACCCGACAGUGAACUUCCUGUCCUCCUGAACUGUGAGAAACAAAUUUAUGUUGUUUAUAGGCCACUCAGUUGAUUGAAUUUUGAGAGGGAACACAGGCAUCCACUCUUACUCUGCUGAGACAGAGUGGAUCACAGGGGAGACUGUCUGGAAUCCGGAGACUGUCCUCUCCAGCUUAGUCAGAACAAUGCUGUUAGGAACAUGAGUCCUUCGGGCUGUGAUAAGGAAGAGGACAUUUAAGGCCAGCAGAUGACAAAACUGAAGCCUCAAGAGCCUGACUUGCUCAUGGUGACAGCAGAAAUGAGAGGAGGACUCAAGAAUUGGACUUCAGAGUUCUCAUGUUCACGGCCAUAUUGAAAUUCCUAUGGGGUCUGCAUUGCAGGACUCCUCCCAGCUACACUGCAGUAUCAGUGGGGACAUGCUUUGCACAUUCUUGCCUUCAGCUCUCUGGCACUAUUUGCUCCAUGAAUUAUUCAAUGGCCUGGUGGCCAUUGCAGGCCAUAUGCAGAUGGCCCUGGAGAAUGCAUGGUGCACAGGGUAAUUCUAGUUUUCCAAUUAGCAGCAAGGUGCUGAGCUGCGAGCCCGAAGCCUACCUAUCUCCAGGAAUGGGUUACAGCUCUUCUCCACAGGGCAGUGCCAGGCUUUGUCAUUUCAUUCACCUCUGCAGUGUCUUCCUCUUGUUCUCCUCCUCCCAGAGGUCAUCUAUUUUCUACUCCCCUGAGAGCUCCAAGGCAAGGCUAAGAGUUAGAGGGGCACACUGCAGCAGAAAUGUGCAAGAGAAAAUGUGUAGGGAAUAAGGAAAGGGGACAUUACUAGAACCUCUGCAGUGGGUCCUAGUGUCCUGCGAGCCAUGGCAGCACAAGACGAAUUAACUUAUUAUACAGGAAAGGUAGAAAAAUGAGACUUUGAGAAGAAGCUGAGCUUUGGGCCUGAUCAGUGCUGCUCUGGGCGGCAAAGAG
RNAcentral lists this long non-coding RNA (1280 nucleotides) under Heterocephalus glaber (naked mole-rat). RNAcentral describes it as "lncRNA (ENSHGLG00100036800.1)". Lineage: Eukaryota; Metazoa; Chordata; Mammalia; Rodentia; Bathyergidae. The record is from RNAcentral.